This 1058-nucleotide long non-coding RNA is filed under the name Numida meleagris (helmeted guineafowl). RNAcentral describes it as "lncRNA (ENSNMEG00000018412.1)". The record is from RNAcentral. Lineage: Eukaryota; Metazoa; Chordata; Aves; Galliformes; Numididae.
AUGCUUUCUAAAGGUGCUUCCUUAAAAUUUUUAUCACAGAUUGAUUUGUUCUAUGGUUUUGUAGUGGAGUAUCAUAGGAGGGGACUGAAGAAGGGUGGAUUUAUUCUGGAAGAGCAUUUCAUGCCUGUUGGAUACCACAGAAGAUAGAUUAAAAAUAGUGAGAAACAAGGUCCGGUUUGGGAUUUGAUGUUAUGAAAAACCCAUUCACUGCAUUGUGGGAAUGUUUGUCUUGAGGUUGCUGAAAGAAAAAGGUUGAAGUAGUGGAUAUAUUUCAUGAUACUUCUUAUAUUGUCUGCUGAUUGAAUGACGUAGUUAAGUGCUAUUUAAAAUGGGUAUUAUUUUGAAAUCCUUAGAGAAGGAAAAAGCCCACAAGAAAUUCUUGUUGAAAAGGACUCAGAGGCAAGAAAACGUGAUAAAGUGUGAAAAUCAGAAUAUCAGCAAAGUAUCCAAUAACCUUUCAACCCUUCUACAGCAUGGAAAAAGUUGCACACUCUUUGAAUUCAAGACUUUUUUCCCUUGCUAUGUAUGUCUACUGAGUUCUCUGAAUCUUCUAGGUGUGACUAUAAUAUACGUGAUAAAUACUGAUGAGAUGUUGCAUUUGUGUAUUUCCAGCUAUGCUGUUUUUCCAAAGACAGUAGAGGAGUCAUAUCUUAAAUUCUUACCUGAAUUUCUGAUGCUUUAAAGAGUUAUCUUUUCUUUAGUGUCUUCCAAUGAAAUAUUCUCUGAAGCAUCAUGUAUUUGGGUCAAGGGAAACCAAAGUCCAAAGCUUUUAAGCUCCUUAUCCAAAAAGAAGAUUCAAGGAAGCAAAAAUGAUGGAAAGAAAAAGUAAUACUGCUGCUCAUGUGAAAGAGCCAAAUUGCUGAGUUCAGUUCUUAAGUUAUAGGAAUGAAAGAAUCUAGCAUGUGAGCAUCGUUCUUUUCUUGCCUGGUUUAUUGAUAAUGCUCUUUUUUUUUUUUUUUCCUAACUUUGGGCUGGGGGAAAUUUUUUUCAUCUUUUUUUUUCUUUAAUUUUAAAUGCUCCUUAAUCAGAAGUUUCAUCUUUUUGUCACUGUUGAUCUU